GUUGGUGGGACACAUUUUUUUUUUUCUAAUCAGAAACCAGAUUAGGCUUAUCUAAGUAGCAAAAGAGUUUAUGUGCACUACUACAGCUUUGAUGUGAGGAGUUAAUUGGUGUGGAAUAUAUUUCUUGGGAGAAAUACAAUUUAUCUCAUUUGUCUGUUUAUCUUUAUUUCUUUGACCUGAGAAAAUGAAAAAGUUGCUACUACUUAAAAUACUACUUCAUGGUACAGUGUGCUUCAAGCCUAAAAUCUUUUAAUAUUUAGCACAAACAGUGUGUUGUGAACACAAAAUAAACUACUAACAAAUUCCACACACAGGCAUCCUGUUCAACGGCACCUGGGCCUGGUCAGUAUACAUGCCAUCAAGAAUAUCUGGUCUACACAAAUCCUGCCUUGUUAUACCAUGUACAUUCUCCUAUUCAUACUAUCCACCUUAUAACCCUAAUCGGAUAGUGUGGUAUCAGUAUGUUGACCGUGGAUAUCCUCUAGUGCUUGACAGUUGGAACCCUUACUCAGUGAUUGAAAGGUACAGAGGGAGAACCAGCUUAUAUAAGGGAACAUAUAGGGACUGCAGUCUACUGAUUAAAGACCUUAGAUAUUCCCAUGAUGGAGACAGAAUAUAUGCUUGGAUCGACCCAGAAAAUGUUGGAUGGAGAACUUACAAAUUCUAUGAUGUCACUACACUAAUUCAUGUUCAAUCAUCUGCACCAAAGCCCGAAGUUUACAUCUCUGGAGGGUAUAAAAUAGGGGAUAAAAUUAAAGUUCGAUGUAUAACAUAUCACACCUGUCCUUACAAUCCCCCCUCUCUAAGUCUGAGUGGGAUACAAAAAACAUCUGACAGUUUGACAGACAACUAUAUUGGUGAUGGCAAAUGGAAAAUCACGCUAACGCGUCAUGGGGUUGUCGAGUCUGAAACACACCGAGUUGAUUGUUCUGUUACACACAGUGGUGGGCUCUCAGCAUCCACUACCACAAUACAUAAUGCA
This is a long non-coding RNA of Clarias gariepinus (North African catfish), 982 nucleotides long. RefSeq lists it as uncharacterized. Lineage: Eukaryota; Metazoa; Chordata; Actinopteri; Siluriformes; Clariidae. The transcript is spliced from 3 exons. The record is from RefSeq and is a predicted model, not a curated record.